Molecule: long non-coding RNA, 296 nt
Filed under: Mytilus galloprovincialis (Mediterranean mussel)
Lineage: Eukaryota; Metazoa; Mollusca; Bivalvia; Mytilida; Mytilidae
Source: RNAcentral
AUGUAAAAUACAUGUAUAAGUAAGCAAUGAAUGUGGUUGUUUAUAAUCUUGUAUAUGCUUUUUUGUGCUACUUGUUUACUAUUUGUUUGUUUAUGUUCUGAUUGAGAUUGUGAUACGGUGAUCACUGUUGUACCUCUUUUUGACAAUUUUACCUAUUACUUUAUAUACCACCCAUGUAAAUUGAGUUUACACAUUUUGCUAUUUAGGAGAUAGCUAUAUUGUAUUUUAAGUUCCAACUGCAUCAAUUGGUGAUUUGAUGGUCGCAAAUUAAGCAUGUUAAGUGUACUGACGACGCG